RNAcentral lists this long non-coding RNA (627 nucleotides) under Papio anubis (olive baboon). RNAcentral describes it as "lncRNA (ENSPANG00000043595.1)". The record is from RNAcentral. Lineage: Eukaryota; Metazoa; Chordata; Mammalia; Primates; Cercopithecidae.
AUGUGGACAGGAACGCACCAGCAUAGGAGCACACCGGCAUGGUCGCAGGCCAUUGACCAGCGGAAGGAUGCGGGGUUUCUCCAGGGAGGUCAGAGAAGCGUCAGGCGUCCAUACCUGACUCCAGGAGAAAACCCAUCUCCCGUCUGCCGAGAGCUACUUCCACUCAGUAAAACUUUCCACUCAUUCUUCAAGCCCACGUGUGAUCCAAUUCUUCUGGUACACCAAGAGUCUCACUCUAUUCCCUGGCUGGGGUGCAGUGGCACUAUCACAGCUCACCAUAGCCUCGACCUCUUGGACUCAGGUGAUCCUCCUGCCUCAGCCUCCCAAGUAGCUGGGACUACAGGUCAAAACAGUCACAACCCUGCUCAAAUUCGCAAAGAUGGGACGGAAAUGGAACCUCUUCAUGGGAGGAAGGUAAAAGAAUUUGGUGCCGUCUUUAAGACUACCACAUUACACCAAUGGCAUCUUCUCACUUUUAGCACAGCCUCUCUGCAACUUGAUGAUCUGCAAUUUGUUUUCUCUUCACCCCAAGUGACUAUGAGCUCACGCAGGGCCAAAAUUAUUUAUAACCUGAACAAAUUAUAUUCUAAGAAACUGUUGAUGAAAAUGAGACACUAUAAAUAUUGA